Molecule: non-coding RNA, 24 nt
Filed under: Drosophila melanogaster (fruit fly)
Lineage: Eukaryota; Metazoa; Arthropoda; Insecta; Diptera; Drosophilidae
Also listed under: 8 other names
Source: RNAcentral
UACCUGGUUGAUCCUGCCAGUAGC